This 69-nucleotide transfer RNA is filed under the name Melanocharis arfakiana. RNAcentral describes it as "tRNA-Met". It matches the Rfam family "tRNA". From Rfam's summary of the family: Transfer RNA (tRNA) molecules are approximately 80 nucleotides in length. Their secondary structure includes four short double-helical elements and three loops (D, anti-codon, and T loops). Lineage: Eukaryota; Metazoa; Chordata; Aves; Passeriformes; Melanocharitidae. The record is from RNAcentral.
AGCAGGGUCAGCUAAANAAGCUAUCGGGCCCAUACCCCGAAAAUGAGGGUUCAUCUCCUUCCCCUGCUA